CCUGUUUAUUUUGUUAUUUCCAGGAGGCGGUCCUAUCAGUGAUUGACAGCUCUCUCUGUAUACACAGUCAUAGAGGGAAGGGUGUCAAUCACCGAUAGGACCUUCUCCUGGACUUCAAAAGCCCAGAAGGAGCAGGAAUGUAUAUGAAUAAAACAAGUUAUUUUGAACCUUUUCCCAUAACAC
Long non-coding RNA from Bufo bufo (common toad), 183 nucleotides. RefSeq lists it as uncharacterized. NCBI's taxonomy places the organism in Eukaryota, Metazoa, Chordata, Amphibia, Anura, Bufonidae. The record is from RefSeq and is a predicted model, not a curated record. The transcript is spliced from 3 exons.